GCAAGUCCGGGGGCCCGCAAGGGCAACCGGCGAACGGGUGCGUAACACGUGAACAACCUGCCCUCGUGUGGGGGAUAGCCGGGCUAACGCCCGGGUAAUACCGCAUACGGUCCUUUGGGGGAGUCCCCGAGGGAAGAAAGCUCCGGCGCACGGGGAGGGGUUCGCGGCCUAUCAGCUAGUUGGCGAGGUAAUGGCUCACCAAGGCGACGACGGGUAGCUGGUCUGAGAGGAUGGCCAGCCACAUUGGGACUGAGAAACGGCCCAGACUCCUACGGGAGGCAGCAGUGGGGAAUCUUGCGCAAUGGCCGAAAGGCUGACGCAGCGACGCCGCGUGUGGGAGGACGCCUUUCGGGGUGUAAACCACUGCUGCCCGGGACGAACACGCUCUUUCGAGAGCGCUGACGGUACCGGGUGAGGAAGCACCGGCUAACUCCGUGCCAGCAGCCGCGGUAAUACGGAGGGUGCGAGCGUUGUCCGGAAUCAUUGGGCGUAAAGGGCGCGUAGGUGGCCCGGUCAGUCAGUGGUGAAAGCGCGGGGCUCAACUCCGCGUCGGCCAUUGAUACUGCUGGGCUUGAGCACUGUAGAGGCAGGCGGAAUUCCGGGUGUAGCGGUGGAAUGCGUANAGAUCCGGAAGAACACCGGUGNCGAAGGCGGCCUGCUGGGCAGUAGCUGACACUGAGGCGCGACAGCGUG
This 693-nucleotide ribosomal RNA is filed under the name uncultured bacterium. RNAcentral's name for it is "bacterial SSU rRNA". It matches the Rfam family "Bacterial small subunit ribosomal RNA", at positions 57 to 763 of the family's 1533-position model. The record is from RNAcentral.